RNAcentral lists this ribosomal RNA (917 nucleotides) under uncultured archaeon. Its description in RNAcentral is "bacterial SSU rRNA". It matches the Rfam family "Archaeal small subunit ribosomal RNA", at positions 5 to 922 of the family's 1478-position model. The record is from RNAcentral.
CGGUUGAUCCUGCCGGAGGCCAUUGCUAUCGGAGUCCGACUUAGCCAUGCUAGUCGCACGAGUUCAUACUCGUGGCAUAUAGCUCAGUAACACGUGGCCAAACUACCCUAUGGACAGAGAUACUCUCGGGAAACUGAGGCUAAUCUCUGAUACAGCUUCCACGUUGGAAUUGCAGGAAGCUGGAAACGCUCCGGCGCCAUAGGAUGUGGCUGCGGCCGAUUAGGUAGACGGUGGGGUAACGGCCCACCGUGCCAGUAAUCGGUACGGGUGAUGAGAGUCAGAGCCCGGAGACGGUAUCUGAGACAAGAUACCGGGCCCUACGGGGCGCAGCAGGCGCGAAACCUUUACACUGCACGACAGUGCGAUAGGGGGACUCCGAGUGCGAGGGCAUAUAGUCCUCGCUUUUCUGUACCGUAAGGUGGUACAGGAACAAGUGCUGGGCAAGACCGGUGCCAGCCGCCGCGGUAAUACCGGCAGCACAAGUGAUGGCCGAUAUUAUUGGGCCUAAAGCGUUCGUAGCCGGCCGGACAAGUUCGUUGGGAAAUCCACGCGCUCAACGCGUGGGCGUCCAGCGAAUACUGUCUGGCUUGGGGCCGGAAGACUCGAGGGGUACGUCCGGGGUAGGAGUGAAAUCCCGUAAUCCUGGACGGACCGCCGAUGGCGAAAGCACCUCGAGAGGACGGACCCGACGGUGAGGGACGAAAGCCAGGGUCUCGAACCGGAUUAGAUACCCGGGUAGUCCUGGCCGUAAACGAUGUUCGCUAGGUGUGGCGCAGGCUACGAGCCUGCGCUGUGCCGUAGGGAAGCCGUGAAGCGAACCGCCUGGGAAGUACGUCUGCAAGGAUGAAACUUAAAGGAAUUGGCGGGGGAGCACUACAACCGGAGGAGCCUGCGGUUUAAUUGGAUUCAACGCCGGG